RNAcentral lists this ribosomal RNA (696 nucleotides) under Triticum aestivum (bread wheat). RNAcentral's name for it is "partial small subunit ribosomal RNA". The record is from RNAcentral. Lineage: Eukaryota; Viridiplantae; Streptophyta; Magnoliopsida; Poales; Poaceae.
AUGGACUUAGAGGAUUUUACCACUGCAUGCAAACUUCCACAAUGGGGUAGUAUAAGGGAUCCUCGCAAAUCUGAAUUUAGAGAUUUUCUUGCUAAUAUAACUGUGGGAGAAUCUAGAGGUAUUACACAAGCUAUCAUAGGGAGCAUCCACUUUCCUGCUAUACAUUAUUUUGCUCUCUUCAUAGGUAGAUGCAUAAAUGGUAAAGAUGAGACAUGUCACGUGUGUGUCCCUGACCUCAGUAUUCUUAGGAGUGCUAUGUUAGGAGACAGAUCAUAUAAUUUGAGAGCCAUUUUUGCACGUAGGUUGCAUCUUAAUAGACUUAAUGGAGAUUUCUUUGGUGGAAUUUAUGCAACUCGCGUAGCUAAUUUUCUUGGUAUAGAUGUACGCAAAGAUGAUAUUGAAUUACCGCCGGCCUAUCUAGAUUUUAAUGCUAUGGUUCACCAUCAUUUUGUCGAGAGGAACGAAUCACCUCUCCAGUACCGACUAAUCUUUGACAGACGUCGUGCUGUCCGUAUUACUCUCCCUGCUCCUGCUUUCUUUGAUUAUCAGGCAAGAGGAGGAUAUACUAUUACCAGAGAGGAGGCAGAUGAGUACGAGAGGAGGGCGGAGGCCGCUCGUCGCCACAAUACAGUACGACCCCCAACAACUAUUAUUAUGGAUAUCAGCCAGGCCAGCCGUGGCCAUAGACCAACUUAG